AGACGAAACAGUGAUGUGGAGUAAAACUUAUAAAAGCGACCUCAGUUCGGAUUGAAGGCUGAAAUUCGCCUUCAUGAAGUCGGAAUUGCUAGUAAUGGCAGGUCAGCAUACUGCCGUGAAUACGUUCCCGGGCCUUGUACACACCGCCCGUCACACCAUGAGAGUUGGAGAUACCCGAAGCCUAUGAGCUAACUUUUAGAGGCAGUAGUCGAAGGUAGAAUCAAUGAUUGGGGUGAAGUCGUAACAAGGUAUC
This 253-nucleotide ribosomal RNA is filed under the name uncultured bacterium. Its description in RNAcentral is "partial 16S ribosomal RNA". It matches the Rfam family "Bacterial small subunit ribosomal RNA", at positions 1247 to 1500 of the family's 1533-position model. The record is from RNAcentral.